Molecule: long non-coding RNA, 1979 nt
Filed under: Mytilus galloprovincialis (Mediterranean mussel)
Lineage: Eukaryota; Metazoa; Mollusca; Bivalvia; Mytilida; Mytilidae
Source: RNAcentral
CCACGAAAUAUGAAUCAAUCCGGAAAGAUUUUGAUGGAUACAUCCUGUGUUUUAUAUGAUCAUCGACUUAGUAAGUAUCCAAUCGGUGUUAAUUUAUUUGUUCGAUUUUUAUCUAAUUUAACAAACAUUUUUUUUUACAUCCUUGCAUUUAAAUGAAUGUUUUAUGUAGGCAAUGAUUACAAAUAGUAGAUACAAUUAAGUUAUGUAUGCCUGUUUUUACGCCUUAUUGUGGUCAUAUAGUUGUUUACUCUCCUUUAAAAGUUAAAUAUGAUACGAAAUUAAUAUAGCGAACAUAUAAAUUUGAUUUCAUCACUGUAGUACAAAUAUUUUUGUUUUUACUUCAUUAAACAGGCAUAACAGAGACUAAUUUCGUCUCAGAUUUAAAAUAAAUUUAAAUUUGAAUCAAAACCAUUAACUGGUCAAUGCGAGAACAUGACUAUAAUUAUACUUGAAAAUUAUGACCUUAAAUCAGAUAGAAAUGUAGAUGUAUGGUAUUUUUAUUUAAAGAUUAAUUGAAUAUUUGUCUGCAGGCAAAAGUAAUUAAACCUGCGAUGACUUCACAAAGAAAAUAAAAUAACACAAUAAUUUCUUAUAGUUUUGUGAUAAUGUAAAUCCAUUUACUGUUGUUUUUUUUUUAGCUUGUGUGGAUCUUUAUUAUGACUAGACUAGAUUAGUGUUAACUGGUAAAUGUUAAAAUGUUAACAAUACAAUUCUAUCAGUAUAUUUUGCCAUAGAACACAUGCAAAAUUAUAAAAGAAAAGUCUUAACUUGUAUAUAUGUUGUUUUUUAUUUGAAAUUUGAGAACGGAUUAUCGUCUUAUGUUUAAUGUUUUGUCAUCAAUAUGGUAUAUUACACCAGACAACUGACAAUGAACACGCUCACGUGAUAAAAAACUGCACAUUUACUCCCAUCACUCAGACAAUAAUUAUUACUCACAGUAGUCCAAUUUAAACUGAUCGCAUUGCAAACCGACGCCGAUGACACCACGUAACGCUCGUCUAGGCGAAAAAAGCUAAGUAGGAAAACAAUCAAAUUCCACUGGGGGUAAAGCUUUGGAUUGGAUUCCAACGAUUAACGAAUUUACAUUAGUUCUGAAAUGUCUUCGAUGUAAAAAUACAACGUAAUAAAAUGCAUGUAAACUUGUGUUAAUAUCAUUUCAGUAUAACAUUAUUUUGAAUAACUAAAUUUAACAAGGCUUCAUCAAUUUCCCGAUUUAGUUCGUGCAAUUGUUACAUAUGAGAAAGCACGACUUUCGAUUAAUAAAAGGCGAUUCAAAAAGCAGAUACAUCUUUUUAAACUAUGCACUUAAUCUACUUACGUGUAAAAUGUUGAAGUGUACUUCAAUUUACAAACUAACAUAAUAACGUACUGUAUGAUUUACUAGAACAUUUAAUACAUAUAAAACAGUAAAUAAAUUAUGGUAUGAGUACAAUAAAGAAUUGAUAAAAAUUCGAUUAUAAUAGUUUCUCUGUAUGUGGAUAUGGUUAAACAAAUUAGAAACCUAAACACGAACACAUAUGUCAAACAUCUUAAAUGGACAUUUUUUAAUCUGAUGCUAAGAUAUCCACUUGUAUUGACACAGUUGGUUAGCUUUUGGUUCUCCUUUCAAACGUCAACAUUUGUUCAUGUGACGACAUUUGCACUGUCACUCCUGUAAUAAGAAAAAAGGCAAACUUAAAAUGAUAGUUAUUAUUUCGUACUUUCAAUUUUUUCACAAUUAAUACAAACAAAAAUCACAAACUGUUAUUCCAAAUUGUUUGUCUAUUUCUUUUUAGAUGCGCGGGUACCUCACCAGCUGUUUAUUUCAAGUUAUUUGUCUGUUUCUAUUUAACCGCACCGGUAACUAAAAAUGUGUUGCUGUAAGACAACUAACAUUGCCAUUCUUUCUGUUUUGUUGAAAGAAAGAUGACCUGCACAGAAACAUAUAUUCCAAGCCAGUAUUAUAUCAUCUUAUAGCUCAAGAUGAAACCAAUGAGGAA